RNAcentral lists this ribosomal RNA (199 nucleotides) under Escherichia coli. RNAcentral's name for it is "partial 16S ribosomal RNA". The record is from RNAcentral. Lineage: Bacteria; Pseudomonadati; Pseudomonadota; Gammaproteobacteria; Enterobacterales; Enterobacteriaceae.
AAAUUGAAGAGUUUGAUCAUGGCUCAGAUUGAACGCUGGCGGCAGGCCUAACACAUGCAAGUCGAACGGUAACAGGAAGCAGCUUGCUGYUUUGCUGACGAGUGGCGGACGGGUGAGUAAUGUCUGGGAAACUGCCUGAUGGAGGGGGAUAACUACUGGAAACGGUAGCUAAUACCGCAUAACGUCGCAAGACCAAAGA